AUGAAGGUAAAAGAAAUUGGAGGUGAUAAUGAUGUAGGCCACUUUUCACCAUUGACUAAAGAUACAUUUUUUAGUCUUGAAAAGGAGGAAGUGACUGUUGAGAAUAAGUCUCCGAUUGAAGGUGAACAUCGCGUUAAUGAUUCUCCUCCUGCAAGUGAUAUUGUUGAAUCAAGUCGCAAGAGAGGUUUGAGAAGGCUGGAAAAGCAGUCCUAUCGUAACCAGUAUGCUUGUGAAGAGUGCGUAAUGAAGUUUCGAUUUUUAAAAGACUUGCAGCAACACUUACGAGAACACUCCAAUUCCUUUAAUGCAGUGGGACAAAGUUCACCAUUCCAGCCUGAAUGCACCUACAAGAAGAGAAAAUUACCUUCUUUAGAUCAUUCACAGCUGUGUCAGUAUUCAAAGGAAUCUCAAGAACAUCAACUGAACAUUAAUAUUAAGGCAUACUGCUGCAUUGAAUGUCCCCGUAAGUUUAGCCUAGUGGAAGACUUAUACAGACAUUCUAAACAGCACACACAUAACUUUAAUUCCGGUCUUGAGGAGCCAGAAAUAAAAAAUUUCCCUGAGGAAACCAGAUUCAAAAUGUAUCCUGAGAACAAGUUUUAUCACUGUUCGGAUUGUCCUCUAAAAUUUCGAUAUUUAAAAUGUUUUCACAAACACUUAGAAAGACAUAAAGCUAGUGCUACUGAAAGCUCUUCCACUAGCUCAGAAUCUAAGCAGUUAAUGUUGCUGAAAGAAGUUAGAGUUAACCUUGGAAGAAGAGUAGAAAUUAAAGAAUCUGAUGGUCUGGAAGAUCCUGUUACUAUUACUGAAUCAAAGUUAAAGCCAACUUUAAACGGUAAGCAAGAUAGUGUGUGCCUCACUCAAGAUGAAAAUCGACAUUGUUGCCCAGAUUGUUCGCUCAAGUUUAGAACCUUCCGGGCUCUGCACUGCCAUUCAGUCGUGCAUAAGAAAAUGAAUGGAUUAAGUCAGGAGACAGACGCCAUAGUAGACUGCAAAGGAGAGGAAUCAAAUUCUGAAAGGAGCUGCUCUCCCAAAAAACUCUUACUCACUUGUCCUUAUCGCCCAAAACAAUCUGAGUGUAAGAAAGUAAUUGAAGAGCAUCUUCUUUUACACAAUAAAAAUGAAGCGAUUGAUUACCAAAGACAUGCACCCGGGCAUAUUGAAGAAAAGCUCUUCUCUUGUGUGCUCUGUCCCUCUAAAAUGAAAUGUGAGAGAAGCCUUAAAGAUCACUCGCAAAUGCAUUCACAAGAUGAACCAGAAGAGAAGCCCCUGGAUGUUCAAAAUGUCCCAAAUGAUACUUCUUUCACUCCUAGUGACCAAGUUGGAUUAUUGACAGCCCCUUGUCAAAAUCAGUCUCAGAGUCCUGAGGAACAACAUUCUUCCUCUAAUCCUAGAGACCCAGUCAAGUUAUUAACAGCUUCUCACCAAAAUCAGUGCCAAGGUCUUGAGGAAAGUCCCUUCACAUGCCAUCUUUGCGUCUCUAGAUUCACUCAGAGUGCUGAUUUGUUAAGCCAUCUCAGAAGUGUGCAUUCUGAACCGAAAAGUUUUAGCUGUGAACUAUGCCCUCGAAUAUUUUUUCAAGAAAGCACCCUCAAACUACACUUACAAACACAUGAAGAAGACCGGUUCGUUUGUAUGGUAUGUCUUGCUAACUUUAAUGAGAAAAGAGACUGA
RNAcentral lists this long non-coding RNA (1674 nucleotides) under Bemisia tabaci. RNAcentral describes it as "lncRNA ENSASIAIIG006647". The record is from RNAcentral. Lineage: Eukaryota; Metazoa; Arthropoda; Insecta; Hemiptera; Aleyrodidae.